AACGAACGCUGGCGGCAUGCCUAACACAUGCAAGUCGAACGAAACCUUCGGGUCUAGUUGCGCACGUGUGCGUAACGCGUGGGAACCUGCCCUUAGGUUCGGUAUAACUCCCCGAAAGGGGUGCUAAUACCGGUUAAUCUCUUCGCACCAAAGAUUUAUCGCCUUUGGAUGGGCCCGCGUUGGAUUAGCUAGUUGGUAGGGUAAAAGCCUACCAAGGCGACGAUCCAUAGCUGGUCUGAGAGGAGGAUCAGCCACACUGGGGAUGGGACACGGCCCAGACGCCUACGGGAGGGAGCAGUGGGGAAUAUUGGACAAUGGGCGAAAGCCUGAUCCAGCAAUGCCGGGUGAGUGAUGAAGGGCUUAGGGUUGUAAAGCUCUUUUACACGGGAUGAUAAUGACAGUACCGGGAGAAUAAGCACCGGCUAACUCCGUG
RNAcentral lists this ribosomal RNA (433 nucleotides) under uncultured bacterium. Its description in RNAcentral is "partial 16S ribosomal RNA". It matches the Rfam family "Bacterial small subunit ribosomal RNA", at positions 29 to 507 of the family's 1533-position model. The record is from RNAcentral.